Molecule: ribosomal RNA, 2178 nt
Filed under: Triticum aestivum (bread wheat)
Lineage: Eukaryota; Viridiplantae; Streptophyta; Magnoliopsida; Poales; Poaceae
Description: partial small subunit ribosomal RNA
Source: RNAcentral
GGGUUUUGUAUAAGCGUCUCCCGUGACCUAAGGGUACAAAGUGUUGCGGGCGUGCCAGUGUACAAAGUACACAAAUAUAAAAAGAGGAAAAGAAAAAGUGAGGUCUACUGGCGCGGCCAAGGGAUCAAGCGAUCAUGGUCUCCUGGUUCCCAAGGGCCUCGGAAAGCCCCCGGUUAAUUACUCCCGCAGAUAGCACCGCAGGACACCUCCGAUUAAGCUGCGCAGUCAUCGUUCUUCGGUCUUCGCUUCGCGUUCCACAUGCAUGGUGGUGGUUUGUGUAUGGCGGCGGCAGAGUCCGUGUACGGAGUGGUACACGCGCCGUCGAAAACGUGGCCGUUGCUCCGGCCACGCCCGCCUACGCAGUCUUGCCUCGUCGGCCUUGAGCGGCGUCGAUGUGGUUGCUGAAGUAGCAUGGAUGGUUGGGCUUGGCUUGGACGUCGUCCAUGACGUUGUAGAUUCGGCGGGAGUGCGAGGGCUAUGCCCCGCGGGAGUAGAUCUUGAACGGAAAAGAAGGAAUGGAUGGACGUGCAACACAUGGAGUGCGCACACCCGUCGAUGACCGCCUACACCGCCGCCAAAUAGCGGAGGAAGUCGCCACCUGGUGCCGUUCGAUGUGGCCGGCAGUGGUAGAUGGGCCGCACGCCAAUGAGCGUGGCACCGACACGGAGUGCCGACGGUGACGCUGAGCCCAUCUCCAUGAUGGAUGCGUCCGAACCGGGAGCCGCUAGACUAGACAUGAGCGGACCCGGCACGUGUGACACGUGUUCGUGCCGACGAAGAGGGAGGCUGCCAGAUACGCCUAAGAGUGUCCCGACCCCAAGCGGACGAUGUCUCCGCCGCCAUAGUUACGACGAGUCAUCGUGACUCGUCGAGCGCCGCGCCGCCUCCAUGGUUACGAUGAGUCAUCGUGACUCGGCAAACGUCACGCCACCGCCAGCGCGUUGAACAUUCCAUGUCGCCGAGUCCCGGCCAGCCCAUGGCGCCUCCAUGGACCGGCGAGGCAGCGGCGAAGGAAACCUGGCGACGCGGCGAAGCCUCGCCCAGGCGCCGCGAAUGGGUGUAGGUAGAAGGGGUGGCGCACUAGAUGGCGCCGAGUCGAGAUGCAUGUCGACGAGUCCCGGCCAGCCCAUGGCGCCUCCAUGGACCGGUGAGACGGGGCGCAUAAGGCCUCGCGAUGCGGCGGUGCCUCGCCCAGGCGUCGCCGAUGGUGUAAGUAGAAGGGGGCGCACUAGAGUGCGCCGAGUCGAACGAUGUGUGCCUCCGAGUCCCGGCACGAUGGUGUUGCUGGCAGACUCGGCGAUGGAGGGUGCGCGGGAGACCGCGCAUGGUCGACGGCCCCGGUACGUCGUCCUCAUGUGCGGAGAGUGCGCCGGGGGCGCGCGUGGGCGGCAGCCCCGACACGUUGUCGCCAUCUUCGCCGUAGUUGUCGUCUUACGCCGAGAGUGCGUCGAGGGCGCCCACCCCCGGCAUGUCGUCGCUGAUGGUGUGUCCGGCAUGGAAGGACCGCCGGGGGCUGCACACGGAGGGCAACACCGGCGCGUCGUCGCCGGUGGUGAGUCCGGCAUGAAGGGGUCGCCGGGGGCUGCACAUGAAAGACAACCCCGACAUGUUGUCGCCAGUGAUGAGUCUGACGUGAGGGGGUCACCGGGGGCUGCACGCGAAAGGCAACCCCGACGCGUUAUCGCCAGUCAUGAGUCCGGCAUGAAGUGUUCGCGGGGGGUUGCACAUGAAGGGCAGCCCGGCGCGUCGUCGCUGGUAGUGAGUCCGGCGUGAUGGGAUCGCCGGGGGCUGCACAUGAAGGGCAACCCCGGCGUGUCGUCUUCAAGAGCAUCGAGAGCCAACGUCGGCUGCCGGCUCCAUCUCCGACCGUGCGGCCGCAGCUCCAACCGCCAUCAUCGGGAUGUAGAGAGAAGGGAUAAAAGAGAUUAGUAUAUGUACUCACCUUGGGAAAAGACGACCGGCAUGAUGUCGAUCUUCGUCGGCGGCUCGAUGAGCCUUGCCCGGCUGUGUACGGGAGUCUCGGCCGCCUGUGCGAGCACUCCCGUAUGGCGCGUGCGUCGGGAGUAGCCUUGGGCUCCUGUCCCUGUUGGAUCUGCUGGUGGGUAGAUGGAUGGAUGUGUUGCCUGAUGCCGGAGGUGCGUGUUCGUCUCCCUCUGGCCGUCCCUUCCCUCCUGGCCC